Long non-coding RNA from Anastrepha obliqua, 401 nucleotides. RefSeq lists it as uncharacterized. The transcript has 2 exons. NCBI's taxonomy places the organism in Eukaryota, Metazoa, Arthropoda, Insecta, Diptera, Tephritidae. The record is from RefSeq and is a predicted model, not a curated record.
UUCGAUUCUUUCAAGAAAAGCAACCAGAUCUACCUCUACCGCCUCAACCAGUCUUGACACGCUGGGGAACUUGGUUGGAGGCAGUAUCAUAUUAUGCAAAAAAUUUUGACGGAAUCAAAGAUAUUGUUGAUGGUCUCAAUGACGAUGCGGCUUGCGUUAUUUUUGCAAAGAAAUUGUUUGCAAACAAGGGAAUUCGAGAGGACUUGGCUUAUAUUCAGGCUAACUUUGGGUUUAUAGUAGACGAGAGAAAUUCAUUCAAAAUUCUUCAGAAAAGAGGUUACUUUUACACCUAAACAUAUUUACAUACUUUCAUAUACUAGUUCAAUCCGCUAUUAACUUGUUCAUCAUGCAUUGUAUUACGGAAUAUUUAUAUAAAAUCGUUUUAAUUUCAAUAUUUUCAA